UUAUAGUGUAUAUUAAAGUUGUUGCAGUUAAAAAGCUCGUAGUCUAACUUCUAGUGCUUCCCGCGACGCUUCACGGCGGCGCGGCCGAGGUGCUAUCUGUUCGAGAACUUCUUCUACCUUAACUGGUCGGAGAUGCUGAUCGGGCUCUUUCCUGAGAAAAAAUUAGAGUGUUUAAAGCAGGCUAAUGCAAUGAAUAUUACAGCUUGGAAUAAUAGAAUAAGACUGGAGUCUCUUUUGUUGGUUAUGAACUUUAGUAAUGGUUAAUAUAAACAGUCGGGGGUAUUAGUAUUUAAGUGUUAGAGGUGAAAUUCUAUGAUUACUUAAAGACUAACUUAUGCGAAAGCAUUUACCAAGGAUGUUUNCAUUGA
RNAcentral lists this ribosomal RNA (368 nucleotides) under uncultured eukaryote. RNAcentral describes it as "partial 18S ribosomal RNA". It matches the Rfam family "Eukaryotic small subunit ribosomal RNA", at positions 592 to 976 of the family's 1831-position model. The record is from RNAcentral.